RNAcentral lists this ribosomal RNA (450 nucleotides) under uncultured bacterium. Its description in RNAcentral is "partial 16S ribosomal RNA". It matches the Rfam family "Bacterial small subunit ribosomal RNA", at positions 354 to 796 of the family's 1533-position model. The record is from RNAcentral.
GUGGGGAAUCUUCCGCAAUGGACGAAAGUCUGACGGAGCAACGCCGCGUGAACGAUGACGGCCUUCGGGUUGUAAAGUUCUGUUAUACGGGACGAAUGGUACGACGGUCAAUACCCGUCGUAAGUGACGGUACCGUAAGAGAAAGCCACGGCUAACUACGUGCCAGCAGCCGCGGUAAUACGUAGGUGGCAAGCGUUGUCCGGAAUUAUUGGGCGUAAAGGGCGCGCAGGCGGCGUCGUAAGUCGGUCUUAAAAGUGCGGGGCUUAACCCCGUGAGGGGACCGAAACUGCGAUGCUAGAGUAUCGGAGAGGAAAGCGGAAUUCCUAGUGUAGCGGUGAAAUGCGUAGAUAUUAGGAGGAACACCAGUGGCGAAAGCGGCUUUCUGGACGACAACUGACGCUGAGGCGCGAAAGCCAGGGGAGCGAACGGGAUUAGAUACCCUGGUAGUCC